UAGGGAAUCUUCCGCAAUGGACGCAAGUCUGACGGAGCAACGCCGCGUGAGUGAAGAAGGAUUUCGGUUCGUAAAACUCUGUUGUUAGAGAAGAACAGCGCAUAGAGUAACUGUUAUGCGUGUGACGGUAUCUAACCAGAAAGCCACGGCUAACUACGUGCCAGCAGCCGCGGUAAUACGUAGGUGGCAAGCGUUGUCCGGAUUUAUUGGGCGUAAAGCGAGCGCAGGCGGUCAAUUAAGUCUGAUGUGAAAGCCCCCGGCUCAACCGGGGGAGGUCAUUGGAGACUGGUUGACUUGAGUGCAGAAGAGGGGGGUGGAAUUCCAUGGGUGGCGGUGAAAUGCGUAGCUAUAUGGAGGAACACCAGUGGCGAAGGCUACUCUCUGGUCAGUAACUGACGCUGAGGUUCGAAAGCGUGGGUAGCAAACAGG
RNAcentral lists this ribosomal RNA (429 nucleotides) under Bacteroidota bacterium. Its description in RNAcentral is "Bacteroidetes bacterium partial 16S ribosomal RNA". It matches the Rfam family "Bacterial small subunit ribosomal RNA", at positions 355 to 776 of the family's 1533-position model. The record is from RNAcentral. Lineage: Bacteria; Pseudomonadati; Bacteroidota.